This 762-nucleotide ribosomal RNA is filed under the name uncultured bacterium. RNAcentral describes it as "bacterial SSU rRNA". It matches the Rfam family "Bacterial small subunit ribosomal RNA", at positions 120 to 883 of the family's 1533-position model. The record is from RNAcentral.
UCCAACCUGCCGAUGACUCGGGGAUAGCCUUUCGAAAGAAAGAUUAAUACCCGAUGGCAUAGUUCUUCCGCAUGGUAGAACUAUUAAAGAAUUUCGGUCAUCGAUGGGGAUGCGUUCCAUUAGGUUGUUGGCGGGGGUAACGGCCCACCAAGCCUUCGAUGGAUAGGGGUUCUGAGAGGAAGGUCCCCCACAUUGGAACUGAGACACGGUCCAAACUCCUACGGGAGGCAGCAGUGAGGAAUAUUGGUCAAUGGACGAGAGUCUGAACCAGCCAAGUAGCGUGAAGGAUGACUGCCCUAUGGGUUGUAAACUUCUUUUAUACGGGAAUAAAGUGAGGCACGUGUGCCUUUUUGUAUGUACCGUAUGAAUAAGGAUCGGCUAACUCCGUGCCAGCAGCCGCGGUAAUACGGAGGAUCCGAGCGUUAUCCGGAUUUAUUGGGUUUAAAGGGAGCGUAGGCGGACGCUUAAGUCAGUUGUGAAAGUUUGCGGCUCAACCGUAAAAUUGCAGUUGAUACUGGGUGUCUUGAGUACAGUAGAGGCAGGCGGAAUUCGUGGUGUAGCGGUGAAAUGCUUAGAUAUCACGAAGAACUCCGAUUGCGAAGGCAGCCUGCUGGACUGUAACUGACGCUGAUGCUCGAAAGUGUGGGUAUCAAACAGGAUUAGAUACCCUGGUAGUCCACACAGUAAACGAUGAAUACUCGCUGUUUGCGAUAUACAGUAAGCGGCCAAGCGAAAGCGUUAAGUAUUCCACCUGGGGAGUAC